GACGAACGCUGGCGGCGUGCCUAAUACAUGCAAGUAGAACGCUAACGGAGGUGCUUGCUUCUCUGGAUGAGUUGCGAACGGGUGAUUAACGCGUAGGUAACCUGCCUUGUAGCGGGGGAUAACUAUUGGAAACCAUAUCUAAUACCGCAUAAGAGUAGAUGUCGCAUGACAUUUGCUUAAAAGCUGCAAUUGCAUCACUACUAGAUGGCCCUGCGUUGUAUUAGCUAGUUGGUUAGGUAACGGCCCACCAAUGCCACGGUACAUAGCCGGGCUGAGAGGGUGGUCGGGCAAAAUGGGACUGAGACACGGCCCAGACUUCCAAGGGGAGGAGCAGGAGGGAAUCUUCGGAAAAGGAGGGAAGGCUGGCCGAGCAACGCCGGGGGAGGGAAGAAGGUCCUCGGAUCGGAAAGCUGUGUUGGAAGAGAAGAAAGAGUGUGAGAGUGGAAAGUGCACAUUGUGACGGUAGCGUAACAGAAAGGGACGGCUAACUACGUG
Molecule: ribosomal RNA, 495 nt
Filed under: uncultured bacterium
Lineage: Bacteria
Description: partial 16S ribosomal RNA
Rfam family: Bacterial small subunit ribosomal RNA
Source: RNAcentral